GAUGAACGCUGGCGGCGUGCUUAACACAUGCAAGUCGAACGGUGAAGCAGGAGCUUGCUCUUGUGGAUCAGUGGCGAACGGGUGAGUAACACGUGAGCAACCUGCCCCUGACUCUGGGAUAAGCGCUGGAAACGGCGUCUAAUACUGGAUAUGUGAUGUGACCGCAUGGUCUGCAUCUGGAAAGAAUUUCGGUUGGGGAUGGGCUCGCGGCCUAUCAGCUUGUUGGUGAGGUAAUGGCUCACCAAGGCGUCGACGGGUAGCCGGGCUGAGAGGGUGGCCAGCCACGCUGUGACUGAGACACGGCCCAGACUCCUACGGGGGGCAGCAUUGGGGAAUAUGGCACAAUGGGCGGAGGCCUGAUGCAGCAACGCCGCGUGAGGGAUGCCGGCCUGCGGGUUGUAAACCUCUUUUAGCAGGGAAGAAGCGAAAGUGACGGUACCUGCAGAAAAAGCGCCGGCUAACUACGUGCCAGCCGCCGCGGUAA
Molecule: ribosomal RNA, 484 nt
Filed under: uncultured bacterium
Lineage: Bacteria
Description: partial 16S ribosomal RNA
Rfam family: Bacterial small subunit ribosomal RNA
Source: RNAcentral